RNAcentral lists this ribosomal RNA (434 nucleotides) under uncultured bacterium. Its description in RNAcentral is "bacterial SSU rRNA". It matches the Rfam family "Bacterial small subunit ribosomal RNA", at positions 855 to 1290 of the family's 1533-position model. The record is from RNAcentral.
AAGCAUUAAGUGAUCCACCUGGGGAGUACGUCGGCAACGAUGAAACUCAAAGGAAUUGACGGGGGCCCGCACAAGCGGAGGAACAUGUGGUUUAAUUCGAUGAUACGCGAGGAACCUUACCAGGGCUCGAACGCGGGGGGAAUGUGGUGGAAACAUCACAGCCAGCAAUGGUCGCCUGCGAGGUGCUGCAUGGUUGUCGUCAGCUCGUGCCGUGAGGUGUCGGCUUAAGUGCCAUAACGAGCGCAACCCUUAUCAUUAGUUGCCAGCGGGUCAAGCCGGGGACUCUAAUGAAACUGCCAGCGUAAGCUGCGAGGAAGGCGGGGAUGACGUCAAAUCAGCACGGCCCUUACGUCCUGGGCCACACACGUGUUACAAUGGAUGGUACAGAGGGUAGCUACCCCGCGAGGGGAUGCCAAUCUCAAAAACCAUUCACA